This is a non-coding RNA of Podarcis lilfordi (Lilford's wall lizard), 74 nucleotides long. The record is from the annotation of a GenBank genome assembly. NCBI's taxonomy places the organism in Eukaryota, Metazoa, Chordata, Lepidosauria, Squamata, Lacertidae.
ACACUUGGUAGCUCAGUAGGCAGAGCAUGAGACUCUUAAUUUCAAGCUCAUGGCUUUGAGCCCCGUCUUGGGCA